RNAcentral lists this ribosomal RNA (460 nucleotides) under uncultured bacterium. RNAcentral's name for it is "partial 16S ribosomal RNA". It matches the Rfam family "Bacterial small subunit ribosomal RNA", at positions 338 to 795 of the family's 1533-position model. The record is from RNAcentral.
CCUACGAGAGGCAGCAGUGAGGAAUAUUGGUCAAUGGACGAGAGUCUGAACCAGCCAAGUAGCGUGAAGGAUGACUGCCCUAUGGGUUGUAAACUUCUUUUAUAUGGGAAUAAAAUGUUCCACGUGUGGGAUUUUGUAUGUACCAUAUGAAUAAGGAUCGGCUAACUCCGUGCCAGCAGCCGCGGUAAUACGGAGGAUCCGAUCGUUAUCCGGAUUUAUUGGGUGUAAAGGGAGUGUAGGUGUAUUGUUAAGGUAGUUGUGAAAGUUUGCGGCUCAACCGUAAAAUUGCAGUUGAAACUGGCAGUCUUGAGUACAGUAGAGGUGAGCGGAAUUCGUGGUGUAGCGGUGAAAUGCUUAGAUAUCACGAAGAACUCCGAUUGCGAAGGCAGUUCACUGGACUGCAACUGACACUGAGGCUCGAAAGUGUGGGUAUCAAACAGGAUUAGAUACCCUUGUAGUC